CCUACGGGUGGCAGCAGUGAGGAAUAUUGGUCAAUGGACGAAAGUCUGAACCAGCCAUGCCGCGUGCAGGAAGACGGCUCUAUGAGUUGUAAACUGCUUUUGUACAAGGGUAAACCUGAAUACGUGUAUUCAGCUGAAAGUACUGUACGAAUAAGGAUCGGCUAACUCCGUGCCAGCAGCCGCGGUAAUAGGGGGAACCCAAGCGUAACCCGAAUUUAUUGGGUUUAAAGGGUGCGUAGGCGGAUUGAUAAGUUAGAGGUGAAAUUUCCGGGCUCAACUCGGGAACUGCCUUUAAUACUGUUGAUCUAGAGAGUAGAUGCGGUAGGCGGAAUGUAUGGUGUAGCGGUGAAAUGCUUAGAGAUCAUACAGAACACCGAUUGCGAAGGCAGCUUACCAAUCUAUAUCUGACGUUGAGGCACGAAAGCGUGGGGAGCAAACAGGAUUAGAUACCCUGGUAGUC
This 460-nucleotide ribosomal RNA is filed under the name uncultured bacterium. RNAcentral's name for it is "partial 16S ribosomal RNA". It matches the Rfam family "Bacterial small subunit ribosomal RNA", at positions 338 to 795 of the family's 1533-position model. The record is from RNAcentral.